Molecule: ribosomal RNA, 785 nt
Filed under: uncultured sediment bacterium
Lineage: Bacteria
Description: bacterial SSU rRNA
Rfam family: Bacterial small subunit ribosomal RNA
Source: RNAcentral
AGAGUUUGAUCAUGGCUCAGGAUGAACGCUAGCGGCAGGCCUAAUACAUGCAAGUCGAACGGUAACAUGAGAGCUUGCUCUUGAUGACGAGUGGCGCACGGGUGCGUAACGCGUAUGCAACCUACCUUUUACUGGGGGAUAGCCCGGAGAAAUCCGGAUUAAUACCCCAUGGUAUCCUGAUGCCCACAUGGGCUGUCAGGAUUAAAGAUUUAUUGGUAAAAGAUGGGCAUGCGUGACAUUAGUUAGUUGGUAAGGUAACGGCUUACCAAGACGAUGAUGUCUAGGGGUUCUGAGAGGAAGGUCCCCCACACUGAUACUGAGACACGGACCAGACUCCUACGGGAGGCAGCAGUAGGGAAUAUUGGUCAAUGGACGCAAGUCUGAACCAGCCAUGCCGCGUGCAGGAUGACAGCUUUCUGAGUUGUAAACUGCUUUUAUAUAGGAACAAAGAGGCCAUGCGUGGCAAGUUGCGUGUACUAUAUGAAUAAGCACCGGCUAACUCCGUGCCAGCAGCCGCGGUAAUACGGAGGGUGCAAGCGUUGUCCGGAUUUAUUGGGUUUAAAGGGUGCGUAGGUGGUUUUUUAAGUCAGUGGUGAAAGCCUGCAGCUUAACUGUAGAGGUGCCAUUGAAACUGGGAAACUUGAGUAUGGACGAGGUAGGCGGAAUUUGUGGUGCAGCGGUGAAAUGCAUAGAUACCACAAAGAACACCGAUAGCGAAGGCAGCUUACUGGACCAUAACUGACACUGAGGCACGAAAGCGUGGGGAGCGAACAGGAUUAGAUACC